AAUCUGCCCUAGAGACUCGCAGGGCCUCCGCCUCAUGAUGUCUGAGCCAAGCUCAGAGCUGCGCCCUCUGCGGCCUCGUCUGUUGCAGGGGAGCAGGCAGGUCCCAGGAAGUGCGUGUCCUUCGUCCCCCACGCAGACAUGUGCUGUCUUGAAGCUUCAGCAGCCAGCCGGGCAGGCGUGGCAAACAACACCCCAGUGUCUCGGGGGCACGCGCAGUGUGAGCUACAUCCUCUGCUGGGGCUGUCUUGGGAGUGGGUCUCCAGGUGCCAGGGCCUGGUCAGGGAAGUCCAGCCUCAGCUCAUCGUGGCCCUGGAGCCACUCACAAGGCACACGGGAGCUGGGCUGGGGUGGCAGGUGGGGCGUCGGCAGGACGUUUGUGGGGUGAGGGAGUGCAGGUGUCUGGCUGGGAGCCCAGAGAGUGGUGUGUAUCGCUGAGGCUGGACAAGAGGGAAGGCGGAGAAGCUUGGCCACGUGUCUCCUGAGGGCUCCAGGCAGGGCCCUCUCACCUGCUGCCAGGGUCCCAGCCCGCAGGAGCUUCCCAUCCGCCUGUGAACUCACGGUCCACACGGCGCUGGAGCGUGGGGCACCAUCUGCAGGGCUUGAGGCCAGCAGCCUAGCCUCUGGGUCCACUGGGGCAGGCAAAGUGAGUCCUGCUGUCUGUGGAGCCAGCGUGCUGGGCCGGGCAGGUGGCGUCAUUGGCUGGCGUGGCUGCAGCUCCGCCCUGCCUGGGGCAUUUGUGGGUUUUUGCGAAAUGCGAAAGCAUGAGCUGCUAGUGAUUAACUUUUAAUGCUUUUAAUUUUUAGUAAAUGAGUAAGUGAAUCCCUGACCCCAGGCGCUGGGACCUGGCCUGCACUUCAUGGGCUUUGUGUGAGCGGCUCCGUGCCAUCUGUCGCACACCCACGCCUCAGUCUGGCCAGGCACAGUUUAGGAAUUUUGUCUUCUGGGUGUUUUCUCUCUCUCUCUCUCUCUCUGUGUGUGUGUGUGUGUGUGUAUGUGUGUGUUUUGAGAUUGAGUUUUGCUCUGUUGCCUGGCACAAUCUCAGCUCACCACAACCUCCGCCUCCCAGGUUCAAGCAAUUCUCCUGCCUCAGCCUCUGAGUAGCUGGGACUACAGGCGCCUGCCACCACGCCCGGCUAAUUUUUGUAUUUUUAGUAGAGACAGGGUUUCACCAUGUUGGCCAGGCUGGUUUUGAACUCCUGACCUUGUGAUCCACCCACCUUGGCCUUCCACAGUGCUGGGAUUACAGGUGUGAGCCACCGUGCCUGGCCCGUGUGUUUAUAUUUGUAAAGAAAAAUGGAUGUUUUUGUGUUUCUUAUGUUAGCUGCAUUUAGUUUGUUAAAGAAAAGUCGCGGUUUUGUUUCCCCUGUUUCCUGUGGAUGCACACCGUGCUGUUCUCCCUGGACCCGCUCUGAGGGCCCCACAUCUGGGCUGCAGUUCUCUGUGUGUUGGGGCUGAAUGCUGGCAUCAAACAAUCUGAAAAGAGUCAGCCGCCACUGUUAGGUUUUCUGUUUCUGUCUUGGGGUCAGGAUUUGUGGAUCAGGGACCUGGGGUGCGAGGUGAGGCAGCUUGUUAGGUGGACGAUGUCUGUCUGUGGUUUGAUUGAUAGUGAGAUAAGAUGUGUAAACCAGGUCAUGCAAAUGAGAUCUCAUAGAUGUCAACCACAGAGAUUAAAUUUACUCUCUUCAGCAGCUCUGGGAGGAGGUGAGAUGCCCGUUGGCCGUGUUCUGUGCACGUCUUGGCGUGUGACGAAGGGUGACUUGUCUGCAGAGAUGGAAUGAGGGGGUUGGGUGGGGCUCCUUCUGGACUCAGACCCAUGCCCUCCCACGCACUCCAGGAGGGGGAUGCACAGGCACUGGAAUCUCGGAUGGCUGUCCCCAGCCCCUGCACACGCACCCUGCAGGGUCGGCCAUGUGGUCUCACCCCCAACUCCCAGUCUCUGCACAUGCCCUGCAGGGUCAGCCAUGUGGACUCCCCAGGCUGGGUCCCAAGCCUGGACGCCCUCCACUCCCUGCUGCCCUGAGCUGUCCUGGUGGUGCUUCCACCACGUGGUCACCGUACUAUCCAUCAAGGGGCUGCUGGGCCACCUCCUGCACUAACUCCAGUCUCUGCCAGACACUGCAUCUUCUCCAAGGCCACUGUGAGCGCCUGGCACCUCCUCAGCCCUGUGUUCCUGGGUACAUGCCUUGUUCUGGACAGCACAGGGCCGACUCACACGUGGGACUUGAGGCCCCUGGUUCUGUGCAUUGGGGUCGCUUUGGCGGAGGGGCCCUGAGGGCUGAGGACAUGGGGUGCACAGGGGCCCGUGUGAGGGUCAGGACAUGGGGGUGCAGGCCUCAGGACAGCCAGAGGGACGGUGACCCUGUUUGGGGGGGGGCAUGAGAAUGGGGGCCUUGGGGGUGAGCAGGUGCCCGCUGGUCAGCUUGAAAGGGACCUGUUAUGUUCUGCUUUGGUUUCUUGGUUGCCCAGCCUUAGACUGGAGUGGGGUUCUGGCCUGGAGUAGGCCUGUGUGCAUCCCGCAGAGUUGGCUCAGGAAAGAUCGUGGCUGCAUAUGGUGUGUGGCACGCUUAGGGCUGAAAUGGCUGGGCCGGAUCUGCAGGGAGUCCAGCCGGUGGGCUGAGGGAGGCUGUUGUUCUUUGGAAGGUUGUGCUGGGCAUCACUGCCGAACAGCAAGGACUGCAGUUGAGAAGACUACACGUUCUUGGUCCGCUGGGGCCACGGGGUCCACGGGGGCAAGCAUCCAGGGGGAGUGGGAAUCCUCAGGGUUUGGGUUCCUUGUAAACCAGAAUCGCUUUGGAGAGGCCUCGGGGGCAGGUGCCAUUUGCAGUUCUGGUGUUUUCCGUAGGUUGUGUGUGUGGCUUGGGUGCCCUGUCCCCUGGAGGAAGGAGUGUCUGGUAGCUGCUCUUCAGCCUCUGGUGAGCCGCACCUCCCGCCAUCCCAGCCCCACCCAGCAGGUUGGCUUGGAGUGAGGCGAUUACUUUGUACCUAGACUCUGACAUAAAAGCUGUUAGCUCAGAUUUUUCAACUUAAAAAUGCAAGCCGGGUGCAGCGGCUCAUGCCUAUAUUCCCAGCACUUUGGGAGGCCGGGGCAGGAAGAUGGCUUGAGCCCAGGAGUUGGAGACCAGCCUGGCCAACACAGCGAGAAUCUGUCUCUAACAAGAUGUUUUUUACAUUAGCUAGGUGUGGUGCCGCACAUCUGCGGUCUCAGCUUCUCUGGAGGAUCGCCUGAGCCCGGGAGUUCGAGGCUGCAGUGAGCUGUGACUGUGCCACUGCACUCCAGCCUGGGUGACAGAGUGAGACCCUGUCUCUAAAAAUUAAAAUUAAAAUGCAAACUUCAAUGUGCCAAAAUGUUGUUUUUUAGACAUGCAAGAAAGCACUUCAGCCAAGCAGAAGGGAGCCAGCUGGAUGAGGUGCGCCAGGCCAUGGGCAUGCUGGCCUUCCCACCCGACACGCACAUCUCCCCGUACAAGGACCUCCUGGACCCUGCACGGUGGCGGAUGCUGAUCCAGCAGUUCCGGUACGACAACUACCGACUACACCAGCUGGGAAACAACUCUGUGUUCACCCUCACGCUGCAGGCCGGCCUCUCAGCCAUCAAGACACCACAGUGCUACAAGGAGGAUGGCAGCUCCAAGAGCCCUGACUGCCCUGUGUGCAGCCGCUCCCUGAACAAGCUGGCGCAGCCCCUGCCCAUGGCCCACUGUGCCAACUCCCGCCUGGUCUGCAAGAUUUCUGGCGACGUGAUGAACGAGAACAACCCGCCCAUGAUGCUGCCCAACGGCUACGUCUACGGCUACAAUGUGAGGGGGACAGGGCAGGGGGGCCAGGCUGGCACGCAUCGUCAUUGGGACAGGGCUGUGUGGGGCGGGCAGGGCAGGGGGGCCAGGCUGGCACGCGUCGCCACUGGGACAGAGCUGUCCUCUCACCCCACCCUGCCUUAGCUUCAUUCGAAAUGGAUGAAGGGGUGAGAAGGACAGGCAAGGUGGCCCCAGGAUUUCUUUGGCAGGUGUGUCUUCGGGAAAGAACUUUGCCUGAGAGGAUGAGUGAUUCCCUGGUGGUUCAUUGUGGGGAUUUUCCGUGGAAAUCCGUGUUUACGUUGUAUUCGCUUGCCUUAAUGCAUUCCCGCUUUUAUUUUUCAGUCUCUGCUUUCUAUCCGUCAAGAUGAUAAAGUCGUUUGCCCGAGAACCAAAGAAGUCUUCCACUUCUCACAGGCCGAGAAGGUGUACAUCAUGUAGGCCCCAUGUCGUGAAGCGCACGCCUCGGGGACGGGCUGCGGCGGGCGGGGAGGCCACGCCUUCCUCCUGUCCCUCGCUCCAGCCUGCCACGGCGUUUCUGUUUCUUGCGACCAAAGAUCAGUGAGCAAUGAUAAAUACUCUUAGGAAGAGAGAAAAUAAGGUUUAAUAAGUUUGUACUUGAAAACAUUUUGAUUGGUAGGAUUUUGUAACACGUCAACCAUUUGAUGCUUCGGAAAAGUACUUUCAACUUGCGAAGGAAACUUUUCUUUAAAGACUGACCUAAACACCGAGGGAAACUUUAGAACGUUUAAAAUAUAGGAGUCCGUGAUUUCCCUGUGUUUUCAGUUUCUUUCCUUCUGUGAACGAUGAGACUUGGAGAACGGGCUGGUCCUUCACCGCUUUCUGUUGGCCCUGGCCCGGCCGGGGAAGGUGGCAGCGGCACUGGACUGACCUGCAGUGACCCGUGAUGCCGCGCCACGAGGGACACUUAUGGCUUCAUUCGAGAGCUGCUGCCAAAACGCCUGGCGCCGCCACCGUCGGGCCGGCUUCGAGGACACCCGCCUGCCUCGCGGGCCGUGUCCGCGGGACUGUGUUCGUACGUGCGUAGUUUCGAUAUCACAUCGCGGGGCUGUGUUCGUACGUGCGUAGUUUCAAUAUCACACCCUCUGUGUGCCGCCUUACUUCCUGCUUCGAGAAUGUAUAACGUGGAAAUCCACGGGACCAAGUUUCUGCAGAGGCCUUGCCGGAUGGUUCCACAACUGUAGAGUCUAAUUACUAUCCAUUACAGAAAUUAAUCGUUCAGUUGAAAGAAGUACUGAUGACUUUUCAAAACAAAUGAACCACCGUAGCUGACAGAGAACCGUAUCGUAGAGGUUUGUAGUUAGUGCUUAUUUUUGCAUGUUGAUGUUGACUAGCUAAUAAACUGUAAAUGUAAACCAUGCGAAUAAAAUGGUUUUCUAUUUCUC
Molecule: small RNA, 5197 nt
Filed under: Pongo abelii (Sumatran orangutan)
Lineage: Eukaryota; Metazoa; Chordata; Mammalia; Primates; Hominidae
Description: retained intron
Source: RNAcentral